GAGUUUGAUCCUGGCUCAGAGCGAACGCUGGCGGCAGGCCUAAAACAUGCAAGUCGAACGCACCUUCGGGUGAGUGGCGGACGGGUGAGUAACGCGUGGGAACGUGCCCUUUGGUUCGGAACAACUCAGGGAAACUUGAGCUAAUACCGGAUGUGCCCUUCGGGGGAAAGAUUUAUCGCCAUUGGAGCGGCCCGCGUUGGAUUAGGUAGUUGGUGGGGUAAAGGCCCACCAAGCCUACGAUCCAUAGCUGGUCUGAGAGGAUGAUCAGCCACAUUGGGACUGAGACACGGCCCAAACUCCUACGGGAGGCAGCAGUUAGGAAUCUUGGGCAAUGGGCGAAAGCCUGACCCAGCCAUGCCGCGUGAAUGAUGAAGGACCUAGGAUUGUAAAAUUCUUUCACCGGGGAAGAUAAUGACGGUACCCGGAGAAGAAGCUCCGGCUAACUUCGUGCCAGCCGCCGCAGUAAU
This 467-nucleotide ribosomal RNA is filed under the name uncultured Alphaproteobacteria bacterium. RNAcentral describes it as "bacterial SSU rRNA". It matches the Rfam family "Bacterial small subunit ribosomal RNA", at positions 9 to 524 of the family's 1533-position model. The record is from RNAcentral. Lineage: Bacteria; Pseudomonadati; Pseudomonadota; Alphaproteobacteria.